GUUUAACCCUCACACUCUAACAAGUGUGGAAAUGAGACGUCUCUUUUUAAUAAGAGUGUCUUUAAACUGAUAACCUGCUCUUGUUUUUCAAGACUUGUGUUAAACGGCAAGAUUACUGGAUGGUUUUAACCGUUCUUUACUUUGCUUACUAGACAUUUGAGGCGAAUGCAAGUAGAAGGCAUUUUAAGUGCACGAAAGCUCUUGUAAAAAGGAGUUUUUAAG
This 222-nucleotide unclassified non-coding RNA is filed under the name uncultured Chytridiomycota. Its description in RNAcentral is "sequence contains ITS2". Lineage: Eukaryota; Fungi; Chytridiomycota. The record is from RNAcentral.